This 253-nucleotide ribosomal RNA is filed under the name uncultured bacterium. RNAcentral describes it as "partial 16S ribosomal RNA". It matches the Rfam family "Bacterial small subunit ribosomal RNA", at positions 524 to 776 of the family's 1533-position model. The record is from RNAcentral.
UACGUAGGGGUCGAGCGUUGUCCGGAGUUACUGGGCGUAAAGCGCAUGCAGGCGGCUCAUUGCGCAUGGCGUGAAAGCCCCCGGCUUAACCGGGGAGGGUCGUCGUGAACGGGUGAGCUUGAGGGUAUCAGGGGCUGGUGGAAUUCCCGGUGUAGUGGUGAAAUGCGUAGAGAUCGGGAGGAACACCUGUGGCGAAGGCGGCCAGCUGGGAUACACCUGACGCUGAGAUGCGAAGGCGUGGGGAGCGAACGGG